UACGGAGGGAGCGAGCGUUGUUCGGAAUUACUGGGCGUAAAGCGUGCGCAGGCGGCUUUGUAAGUCAGAAGUGAAAGCCCUGGGCUUAACCCAGGAAUUGCUUUUGAAACUGCUUGGCUUGAGUAUCGGAGAGGUUGGCGGAAUUCCCAGUGUAGAGGUGAAAUUCGUAGAUAUUGGGAGGAACACCAGUGGCGUAAGCGGCCAACUAGACGAUUACUGACGCUCAUGCACGAAAGUGUGGGGAUCAAACAGG
RNAcentral lists this ribosomal RNA (253 nucleotides) under uncultured bacterium. Its description in RNAcentral is "partial 16S ribosomal RNA". It matches the Rfam family "Bacterial small subunit ribosomal RNA", at positions 524 to 776 of the family's 1533-position model. The record is from RNAcentral.